GGGUCAGUAGGUUGGUCGUGCCACCGGUACGUACUGGUCUCACUGAUUCCUCCUUCCUGAAGAACCGUAAUGCCAUUAAUUUGGUGUUGUGGGGAAACAGGACUGUUACUUUGAAAAAAUUAGAGUGUUUGAAGCAAGCUAACGCUUGAAUACAUUAGCAUGGAAUAAUGAAAUAGGACGAUCGAUCCUAUUUUGUUGGUUUCUAGGAUUGACGUA
RNAcentral lists this ribosomal RNA (216 nucleotides) under Glomeromycotina sp. RNAcentral describes it as "partial small subunit ribosomal RNA". The stretch from base 40 to 216 matches the Rfam family "Eukaryotic small subunit ribosomal RNA", at positions 686 to 864 of the family's 1831-position model. Lineage: Eukaryota; Fungi; Glomeromycota. The record is from RNAcentral.